CCUACGGGUGGCAGCAGUAGGGAAUUUUGGACAAUGGGGGAAACCCUGAUCCAGCGACGCCGCGUGCGGGAUGAAGGCCUUCGGGUUGUAAACCGCUUUUGUCACCGAGGAAUUUCUGACUGUAGGUGACGAAUAAGAGGUUGCUAACUCUGUGCCAGCAGCAGCGGUAAUACAGAGACCUCGAGCGUUAUCCGGAAUUAUUGGGCGUAAAGCGUACCGAUCGGCGGUAUAAUAAGUCUGCUGUAAAAUCCCACGGCUUAACCGUGGACGCGCAGUGGAUACUGUUAUGCUUGAGGGACAUAGAGGUGCCUGGAACGAAUGGAGUAGCAGUGAAAUGCGUUGAUACCAUUCGGAACACCAAAAGCGAAGGCAGGGCACUGGAUGUCACCUGACGCUGCUAGGACGAGAGCGUGGGGAGCGAAUGGGAUUAGAUACCCCAG
Molecule: ribosomal RNA, 440 nt
Filed under: uncultured bacterium
Lineage: Bacteria
Description: bacterial SSU rRNA
Rfam family: Bacterial small subunit ribosomal RNA
Source: RNAcentral